RNAcentral lists this ribosomal RNA (440 nucleotides) under uncultured bacterium. Its description in RNAcentral is "partial 16S ribosomal RNA". It matches the Rfam family "Bacterial small subunit ribosomal RNA", at positions 338 to 795 of the family's 1533-position model. The record is from RNAcentral.
CCUACGGGAGGCAGCAGUGGGGAAUAUUGCACAAUGGGGGAAACCCUGAUGCAGCGACGCCGCGUGAGUGAAGAAGUAUUUCGGUAUGUAAAGCUCUAUCAGCAGCGAAGAAAACUACGGUACCUAAUUAAGAAGCCCCUGCUAACUACGUGCCAGCAGCCACGGUAAUACGGCGGGGCCAAGAGUUAUCCGGUUUUACUGGGUGUAAAGGGAGCGUAGACGGCAGCUCAAGUCUGGAGUGAAAUGCCGGGGCUUAACCCCGGAACUGCUUUGGAAACUGUGCAGCUAGAGUGCAGGAGAGGUAAGUAGAAUUCCUAGUGUAGCGGUGAAAUGCGUAGAUAUGAGGAGGAACACCAGUGGCGAAGGCAGCUUACUGGACUGUAACUGACGUUGAGGUUCGAAAGCGUGGGGAGCAAACAGGAUUAGAUACCCCUGUAGUC